RNAcentral lists this long non-coding RNA (304 nucleotides) under Salvia miltiorrhiza (redroot sage). Its description in RNAcentral is "long non-coding RNA (SMIL_LNC001700)". Lineage: Eukaryota; Viridiplantae; Streptophyta; Magnoliopsida; Lamiales; Lamiaceae. The record is from RNAcentral.
CUCAACUGAAGGAUCGGUGAAGGUGAAGAAGAACACAAGAAAACCAUUCAAAGCUCCAAGAGGGAAGACAGAAGCUGUGGAGCAAGAACCCAUCCUCAGAAGAAGUCCAAGAGAAAAGAAUGUUAUCUCAACUGCUGGAUCAAUAACCACCAGUUGAAAUCACAUUUAGAAUUGGGUUUAGCUAGGGCUUUGUGAUUUUUUUAUUUUUUUAUUUUGGAUGAUAGUUGAUCAUGACAAAAUAAUGAUGGUUUUUUGAACAUGAAUCAUUUUAACAACAGCUACUGAUGUUGCACUACAGUUUUUA